RNAcentral lists this transfer RNA (63 nucleotides) under Ixodes uriae (common seabird tick). The record is from RNAcentral. Lineage: Eukaryota; Metazoa; Arthropoda; Arachnida; Ixodida; Ixodidae.
ACUUAAUUAGUUUAAAUAAAAUAAUAAUUUGUGGAAUUAUAGAUGUGAAAUUAACAUUAGGUA